RNAcentral lists this Y RNA (106 nucleotides) under Microcebus murinus (gray mouse lemur). RNAcentral's name for it is "Y RNA (ENSMICG00000029257.2)". It matches the Rfam family "Y RNA". Rfam says of the family: Y RNAs are components of the Ro ribonucleoprotein particle (Ro RNP), in association with Ro60 and La proteins. The Y RNAs and Ro60 and La proteins are well conserved, but the function of the Ro RNP is not known. Lineage: Eukaryota; Metazoa; Chordata; Mammalia; Primates; Cheirogaleidae. The record is from Rfam by way of RNAcentral.
GGCUGGUCUGAAGGUAGUGAGUUAUCUCACUUGAUUUUUCACAGUCAGUUACAGAUUGAACUCCUUGUGCUACUACUUUCCCCCUUCUGCACUUGACUAGUCUAAG